AUGGACUCCCCACAAAAAAAGCUUGGAUCCAUGGACGGCGAGCUGCUGCCUGUGAGUGCGAGUGCGACCGUGGCCAAGAAGACCUUGGCCGCUCGUCUGUUCCAGGAUCAUGUCCUGCUGCUCAGCGCUUGGGCGCUCUUCACGGCCUUCGUCCUCGUCGUCUCCUGCGCAUUGGGCUACGCAAUCGCCUACGCACUCGACCACUUCCACGUCCCCUGCAGCCAGGCCUCCUUCUUUCUGCGGUGCCACAAGCCGACGGACGCGGAGGCCGCCGAGGUGACCGCCCUAGUGAUCGGGAUGCUGUGCUGCGCUACACUCCAGGCGGCCGCGGCGGCGCUGGCGCUGCUGCUCCCGUGCCGCCGUCCCUGGGUCCGCUGCGCCCUCGCCUACCUCGCCCUCGCGCUCACCAUCGCCGGCCACUGCAUGUACGCAGUCUUCCUCAACCACUUCGCCAACCCAGGAGACCUCUUCUUCAAGAUCUGCUGGACCGUGGCCUUCGUCGUCCUCGAGGCGGAUGACAUGAUCUGCUUGCUGGUCCUCCUGCUCCUAGCUUCCAAAGAAUAA
This 564-nucleotide ribosomal RNA is filed under the name Triticum aestivum (bread wheat). Its description in RNAcentral is "partial small subunit ribosomal RNA". Lineage: Eukaryota; Viridiplantae; Streptophyta; Magnoliopsida; Poales; Poaceae. The record is from RNAcentral.